UUAUUUUUAGUGAGACUGAAAGCUAAUAGGCAGCUGCCAGCAGUGGAGUGACAGGAUAGAGAAACAACUGUAGAGGAGCAAGAGAUGAUGGUGACUCAGACCAAAGUGGAAGCAGUGGAGGUGAGGAGAGCUGGUCAAAUUCCAGGGAAUCAUGGUAAUUGUCUUGCGCAAAGUAUCUUCCUUUAAUAUGGCAGAAAUAUUAGUGUGAAAGACAGAGGACUCUGAAAAGCAGGAGCAGGAAAUUUAAGAAAAACAGCAAAAGCAGACAUGAAGCUGAAGAACCACAGAGGAGCCAAAUUACAAGAUUACAGGCAGUACCUGAAACACAUUCAUCACAGUCAAAAGGAAGUGAAGAGACACAGAAGGGAAGCAAGAUACUGAGAUGCUGCCAAGUAUCCCAGAGUCCAUGAUGGAGUAGAGAUGAAACAAUAGACCCAGGUCAUUCCUCUGCUGGAGGUUCUGAGGCAAGCAGUAGUGCUCUGCAGAUGAACAUUCAUGACAACUUGCCUUUCAACUGGAGGUGUGUGACAGCCAGAAAAAUACCAUCGAGGUAAAGCUUUUUUCUCCUAGAGGAGCAACUGACUCACCGCAGCAUGUUGUUAUGUGGACCUCGAGUCUGUGGACUAGUGACCUUCACCUCCUUCAGUGUGUGGGUCUGUCCAGGGCUUCCAUCCCUCCAGUAAGAACCCUAACCCACAUUCCUGCAUUUGAUAACUUUGAGUUAAAUCAAGAAAAGCUUGGAAAUUUGGACAUAGUUGUUUAUAAGUCACUCAUAUUAUCUAUUAAAGUCUAAAAAUGUUGUAGUCCCUGAAUUUAGUAGAACAAUGUCUGUAGUGAGAGCAAAAAUCUUUCAGGGAAAGCUUACUCCUCCUGAUCUUCACUCCACAUACUUCACUGAUAUUGGACAACUAACCCUUUAAAAAGGUUUUGCUUGGGCUCCUUCAAAGCCAUGAAAAGUACCAAGGUAUAUCAAAGUUCACUAUCCUUUCCAUAUCUUCCAUAAUCCCAGUCACCCUUUCUAUCAGACACAAAGUGGGGACAUAGGCAGUGCCUUAAAGCAUCCUAUCAUCUACACCUAAUUUGGGGCACAUAUCUGAUAAUACUGACUCCUAAACCUUGAUUCUGAAAACCACCAUCUCUCUAUUAAAUGAUCAAGAACAUCCCACACACAACACCGGGCAAUGAUACAUCUUCAUGUAUUUCCUGAGGCCUCUGAAGGGACUGCCUCUCCAAGGAGCCA
RNAcentral lists this long non-coding RNA (1240 nucleotides) under Homo sapiens (human). Its description in RNAcentral is "HSALNT0111703". The record is from RNAcentral. Lineage: Eukaryota; Metazoa; Chordata; Mammalia; Primates; Hominidae.